Molecule: ribosomal RNA, 264 nt
Filed under: uncultured archaeon
Lineage: Archaea
Description: partial 16S ribosomal RNA
Rfam family: Archaeal small subunit ribosomal RNA
Source: RNAcentral
AGUCACUGACAUUAGAUACCCGCGUAGUCCCAGCCGUAAACAAUGUGCGUUAGGUGUGUCGGUAACCACGCGUUACUGAUGCGCCGAAGAGAAAUCGUGAAACGCACCACCUGGGAAGUACGGUCGCAAGGCUGAAACUUAAAGGAAUUGGCGGGGAGCACCACAACAGGUGGAGCUUGCGGUUUAAUUGGAUUCAACGCCGGACAUCUCACCGGAUAAGACAGCUGAAUGAUUGUCAAUCUGAAGGUUUUACAUGACUAGCUG